GCAUCAAUGGUUCACUUAUAGAAUGUUUGCCUAUCACGCGUGUAGUCGAGGUUCGAAUCUCCGUCGAUGCA
This 71-nucleotide transfer RNA is filed under the name Trichobilharzia regenti. It matches the Rfam family "tRNA". Rfam says of the family: Transfer RNA (tRNA) molecules are approximately 80 nucleotides in length. Their secondary structure includes four short double-helical elements and three loops (D, anti-codon, and T loops). Further hydrogen bonds mediate the characteristic L-shaped molecular structure. tRNAs have two regions of fundamental functional importance: the anti-codon, which is responsible for specific mRNA codon recognition, and the 3' end, to which the tRNAs corresponding amino acid is attached (by aminoacyl-tRNA synthetases). tRNAs cope with the degeneracy of the genetic code in two manners: having more than one tRNA (with a specific anti-codon) for a particular amino acid; and 'wobble' base-pairing, i.e. permitting non-standard base-pairing at the 3rd anti-codon position. The record is from Rfam by way of RNAcentral. Lineage: Eukaryota; Metazoa; Platyhelminthes; Trematoda; Strigeidida; Schistosomatidae.